Callorhinus ursinus (northern fur seal) is the source of this 406-nucleotide long non-coding RNA. RefSeq lists it as uncharacterized. NCBI's taxonomy places the organism in Eukaryota, Metazoa, Chordata, Mammalia, Carnivora, Otariidae. The record is from RefSeq and is a predicted model, not a curated record.
GCCCCUCUGGGCCUCAAUGACCUCCCCUCCCCUGGAGGCCCAGCCUCCUUCCCCAGGGAGUUUCUCCCUCUAACCUCCUGGCAGGUGGAAAGAAGGGGAAAGACCACUGUGAACAACCAAAAGAAUUUGAUUAGAUGUAAAUUUUAACGGCUGUACAGAGGAUCAAAAGGAGUCAGUCUGAAUUAUCUGAUUUUAACUGAAUUUGAAAAAGACUAUCUGAUAUUAUCUAAGUACCAGGAGGCAACUUGUCACGUUGCAGCUGCCUACCAGCAGAUUAUAAUGUGUCUGCAAAAGCAUCCCACAGGCCAUGACCCUGGAAGUGGCCUUGCAAGCUGAGCAGGAUUUCCUCACAACACAGGGAGAAUCUGAAGGGCCUUCCCACUUUCCCAUAAACAAAUACAAGUUC